GCAGUGUCCUUAGAAACUCGUCGGGGGCAUGGGUUUUUGGUUUUUGUGCUAAUCUUGGUCGAGGUGAGAUUCUAUGUUCUGAAGUUUGGGAUGUUUUUAUUGGGCUGUAAUUUGCAUGAAAUAAUGGAAUUAAGAAGAUUAUGGUAGAAUCAGAUUUUGCUCUUGCAGUUCAAUUGAUUUUUAAUGCAAAAGUGGAUAAUCACCCUCUGGGAAGUUUAGUACUGAAUUGUCGAGCCGUUAUGCACCAAAUUUGGUAUUGUGAAAUUUGUCAUAUCUAUUGUGAAAAGAAUUUUGUUGCUGAUGAUGAUUUAGCUCAUUUGGUCCAGUGUUUUUUAAGCAAUCUCCUUAUUCUUGUCAUCGAUUGCAAGUUGCAGAUAUAAUUGGGGUCUCAUGGCCUUGUGAUAUUCUAUUGUAAUCUUCAUUUUCUUUCAGGCCUAUGCCCCUUUGUCAAAAAGAAAAAAAAAAGUGUACAUACAAAAUGGAAAUUGUGACGUUGAUUGUGAACUACAAAAUCAGAAUGACUUUGAUAUGAUGUAAGGGUUUUCAUGGGCCACUAGGUGCGGAUAUGGCUCCCAUGUUGUCAGUCAACAGGCUGUCGAAUUUGGCGUCUGCUCGCCGAUGUCGUGGGUCGUCAACGACCACGAUCUUGGCUUGCGUUAUGCUGGUGGUCUAGUUCGAGGUCAAGUCUCUACAAAUUCCCUGCACGUUCACUUCUUCUCACCCCAACUAGGAGUAGUAAAAUGAAAAUUAGUGGGAAUUUCAUGAUACUUAAGAGUAGUAAAAUGAGACAAGUGCUGAUCAAUCAUGAGCACUGUAGUAGGGCGUAAAGUGGUUUUAACAACAAAUUGUCUAACAUUUACCUAGGCUGAAAUUAAAAAUAGAUUGUCUUAACAUCAAUCAUAAGCUAUGAAGAUGAACCAGUUUCUGUAACUGAAAGUAUGAUAGCAUAAUAUCCCUAUCUAUUCUACUAGUUGUUGUAAAAAUUUUGGGGAUAAAAUUCUCUUAAAGAGGGUAGACUGUUACAACCCAUGUCGUAAAAUAUUAUAUUUUAUUCUCGAACUAGUGGAAUGUUAAGUAAUUUUCAUGCCUUGACUCGAAUUUAAAUUUCUUAUAUUUUCUUAGUCUUCCUAAAUAUUCAUGUUAUGUGAAUGUAAAAUGCACGGAGGGGUAAAAUGGUUCCACUGAAUUUUUUC
Molecule: long non-coding RNA, 1193 nt
Filed under: Malus domestica (apple)
Lineage: Eukaryota; Viridiplantae; Streptophyta; Magnoliopsida; Rosales; Rosaceae
Description: long non-coding RNA (MDOM_LNC010386)
Source: RNAcentral